This 495-nucleotide ribosomal RNA is filed under the name uncultured bacterium. RNAcentral describes it as "partial 16S ribosomal RNA". It matches the Rfam family "Bacterial small subunit ribosomal RNA", at positions 28 to 507 of the family's 1533-position model. The record is from RNAcentral.
GACGAACGCUGGCGGCGUGCCUAAUACAUGCAAGUAGAACGCUGAAGGAGGAGCUUGCUUCUCUGGAUGAGUUGCGAACGGGUGAGUAACGCGUAGGUAACCUGCCUGGUAGCGGGGGAUAACUAUUGGAAACGAUAGCUACUACCGCAUAAGAGUAGAUGUAGCAUGACAUUUGCUUAAAAGGUGCAAUUGCAUCACUACCAGAUGGACAUGCGUUGUAUUAGCUAGUUGGUGAGGUAACGGCUCACCCAGGCAACGAUACAUAGCCGACCUGAGAGGGUGAUCGGCCAAACUGGGACCUGGACACGGCCCAGACUUCUACGGGAGGCAGCCGUAGGGAAUCAUCGGCAAUUGACGGAAGUCUGACCGAGCAACGCCGCGGGAGUGAAGGAGGGUUUCGGAUCGGUAAGCUCUGUUGUAAGAGAAGAACGAGUGUGAGAGUGGAAAGUUCACGCUGUGACGGUAUCUUACCAGAAAGGAACGGCUAACUACGUG